RNAcentral lists this ribosomal RNA (925 nucleotides) under Tetrahymena glochidiophila. RNAcentral describes it as "SSU rRNA". It matches the Rfam family "Eukaryotic small subunit ribosomal RNA", at positions 190 to 1146 of the family's 1831-position model. Lineage: Eukaryota; Ciliophora; Oligohymenophorea; Hymenostomatida; Tetrahymenidae. The record is from RNAcentral.
CUGUGUAGUGGAUGUAUUUAUUAGAUAUCAAACUAAUCGCAGCAAUGUGAUUAAGAUGAAUCAAAGUAACUGAUCGAAUCGCAGGACUCUGCGAUAAAUCAUCUAAGUUUCUGCCCUAUCAGCUCACGAUGGUAGUGUAUUGGACUACCAUGGCGCUCACGGGUAACGGAGAAUUAGGGUUCGAUUCCGGAGAAGGAGCCUGAGAAACGGCUACUACACCUACGGGUAGGCAGCAGGGGCGUAAAUUACCCAAUCCUAAUUCAGGGAGGUAGUGACAAGAAAUAUCAAGUCGGGAAGAUUUUCUUCUACGGCAUUGAAAUGAGAACAGUGUAAAUCUCUUAGCGAGGAACAAUUGGAGGGCAAGUUCAGGUGCCAGCAGCCGCGGUAAUUCCUGCUCCAAUAGCGUAUAUUAAAGUUGUUGCAGUUAAAAAGCUCGUAGUUGAAUUUCUGCUCGCCUAUGACUACUUCGGUGGUCUAUAGACGGGCAUACGUCUGCAAACUAAGACCGGCCUUUACUGGUGCGACUUAGGGAGUAGACAUUUUACUGUGAAAAAAUUAGAGUGUUCAAAGCAGGUUUUGCUCGAAUACAUUAGCAUGGAAUAAUGGAAUAGGACUGAGUCCAUUUUAUUGGUUAUUGGAUUUAGUAAUGAUUAAUAGGGACAGUUGGGGGCAUUAGUAUUUAAUAGUCAGAGGUGAAAUUCUUGGAUUUAUUAAGGACUAACUAAUGCGAAAGCAUUUGCCAAAGAUGUUUUCAUUAAUCAAGAACGAAAGUUAGGGGAUCAAAGACGAUCAGAUACCGUCGUAGUCCUAACUAUAAACUAUACCGACUCGGGAUCGGAUGGAAUAGAAAUGUCCAUUCGGCACCGUAUGAGAAAUCAAAGUCUUUGGGUUCUGGGGGGAGUAUAUGUCGCAAGGCCGAAACUUA